GCUGGGUGUGGUGGCUCAUGCCUGUAAUCCCAGCACUUUGGGAGGCCGAGGUGGGCGGAUCACCUGAGGUCAGGAGUUCGAGAGCAGCCUGGCCAACAUGGUGAAAGCCCGUCUCUA
RNAcentral lists this non-coding RNA (117 nucleotides) under Gorilla gorilla gorilla (western lowland gorilla). Lineage: Eukaryota; Metazoa; Chordata; Mammalia; Primates; Hominidae. The record is from Rfam by way of RNAcentral.